Molecule: long non-coding RNA, 476 nt
Filed under: Papio anubis (olive baboon)
Lineage: Eukaryota; Metazoa; Chordata; Mammalia; Primates; Cercopithecidae
Description: lncRNA (ENSPANG00000047098.1)
Source: RNAcentral
AUCGCAGCAGCCACAUCCUGGAGCGAGAUGAUGGAAGGGGAAGCCAGGGAGCAGGCUUUCAUCUAGCUACCAAGGCUGAAGUAGUGCCUGUCCCACAGAACCAUCACCCCUCAGAACUCAGCCUGGAUGUCAGCCGUGGCCAUGAUGGCUCCGUCUCAUUCUGUCACAGAUCGUCUUUAUAAGCCAGACAUGUCAGUGCUAUAAACUGAUGAGACACCCACCAAAAUUAACAGAAAUCGAAGGUGUGGAAAGGAUCUCAGACAAGCGAAUCCAUCACUGUUACUGUACAGAUAAGAAAUGGAGGUCAAAUAGGAUUAGCAACUUGCUCCGGACUCCACAGGAGACAAAGGAAGUCACGUGACUUGGAAUUCCUGGUGGUGUCUUGAAGAUGGCUGUUCUGUUUCUCAAGCAAGGAGGAGGAGAAUAACAUAUGGAUAUAUCGCCGGCUGCCCGUGCCAUCUCCUGAAUUGCCAGAC